Molecule: ribosomal RNA, 614 nt
Filed under: uncultured bacterium
Lineage: Bacteria
Description: bacterial SSU rRNA
Rfam family: Bacterial small subunit ribosomal RNA (bases 1-520)
Source: RNAcentral
CCUACGGGAGGCAGCAGUGGGGAAUAUUGGACAAUGGGCGAAAGCCUGAUCCAGCAAUGCCGCGUGAGUGAUGAAGGCCUUAGGGUUGUAAAGCUCUUUUACCAGGGAUGAUAAUGACAGUACCUGGAGAAUAAGCUCCGGCUAACUCCGUGCCAGCAGCCGCGGUAAUACGGAGGGAGCUAGCGUUGUUCGGAAUUACUGGGCGUAAAGCGUGCGUAGGCGGCGAUUCAAGUCAGAGGUGAAAGCCUGGAGCUCAACUCCAGAACUGCCUUUGAAACUAGAUUGCUAGAAUCAUGGAGAGGUGAGUGGAAUUCCGAGUGUAGAGGUGAAAUUCGUAGAUAUUCGGAAGAACACCAGUGGCGAAGGCGGCUCACUGGACAUGUAUUGACGCUGAGGCACGAAAGCGUGGGGAGCAAACAGGAUUAGAUACCCUGGUAGUCCACGCCGUAAACGAUGAUAACUAGCUGCCAGGGCUCAUAGAGCUUUGGUGGCGCAGCGUACGACGAUAAGUUAGUCCGCCGUCGGGUAAGGUACGGUCGUUCGAGUAAGUUAAACGUUAACGAAGGAAGUUAGACGGCGUUGAGACGNGCGACGGACGACGACGAGGGAGGAGG